This is an RNA transcript of Vigna angularis (adzuki bean), 698 nucleotides long. It is a transcript of the gene named cysteine proteinase inhibitor, with no coding region annotated. The record is from RefSeq and is a predicted model, not a curated record. NCBI's taxonomy places the organism in Eukaryota, Viridiplantae, Streptophyta, Magnoliopsida, Fabales, Fabaceae. The transcript has 4 exons.
CGUAACUGCAUAAAAGGAGAAGGCACGAAGAUUUUCUCAGUUCAUCCAAGAGAGAGAUAAUGGCAACACUUGGUGGCAAUCGUAAUGUCGCAGGAAGCCAGAACAGCGUUGAGAUCGAUAGUUUAGCUCGAUUUGCUGUUGGAGAACACAACAAAAAACAGAACGCCCUUCUGGAGUUUGGAAGGGUGGUAAGUUUACAACAGCAAGUGGUUUCUGGUACCUUGUACACCAUCACUUUGCAGGCAAAAGAUGGUGGGCAAAAGAAGGUUUAUGAAGCCAAAGUCUGGGAGAAGCCAUGGUUGAACUUCAAGGAGCUGCAAGAGUUCAAACUUGUUGGAGAUGCACCUGCAUAGUGUCCUUAGCUGGCUGCUAUGUAACAUGACAAUAAGUUGUUGAUCAUCAAUGCUAGAAGAUUUGUGGGAAUUUCAUUUUUCUUUUUUGCUGAUGAAUCAGAGAUGAGGGUUACAGAAGAGCUAAGAAAGAAAUCUAGCGUUGUUCGAAGGUGAAAGCCUAAGGAUAAGAGCAUCCAAUCCUAUAUCCUAUAUGUAAAAAAUAAAUGUAGCUUUCUUACCUUCUUAUGGAUAUUUGAUGCCCUAAAUUAGCAUCCUAUUAUAUAAAGUUUAAAUGCUAGAAAUAUAUGAUUUGUGUGUGUAUUUUGUUAUUUUAACCUAAUAAUUUAACAAGAACUUAUUUUUAAA